Molecule: unclassified non-coding RNA, 139 nt
Filed under: Oidiodendron cereale
Lineage: Eukaryota; Fungi; Ascomycota; Leotiomycetes; Myxotrichaceae
Description: partial internal transcribed spacer 2
Source: RNAcentral
CAACCCUCAAGCUCUGCUUGGUGUUGGGCCACGCCCCCGCGGCCGGCCCCAAAGCUAGUGGCGGUGCCGUCUGGCUCUAAGCGUAGUACAUCUCUCGCUCUAGGGCCCGGCGGUUGCUUGCCAGAACCCACACUCUUAU